AAUGUAUGCUGAAGUUCAUUUCCACUUCUGCCAUGUGAAAAUUGUCGUGUUUCUUCUGUGUCUAGAAAGAGACCAGAAUGAAUGCACUGGACCUGAUUUAAGGAUUUUUCUUGAUCACGACCCAUAGGAUUGCAUCUCUGUUUUAGGAACUUGGAGACCAAUAACAGAUGCUCUAGCUAAUUUCAACUUGUACCCGGGUGAAGUUUCUUAUGUUGCCUCCAUGUUACAAGAGAGACCAAGAAUGUAUGCAUGUGAGCUGGUUAAAUGUUAUUCCAUGGUGGCGAACUCUGUGAUUGCAUCUCUGUGAGAAGCACACAAACCAAUGUGAGUAAUGGUCAGAGUUCUUGUCUUGGUUUCAGUGAUUGUUUCUUUUCAGAGCAUUCAGUGUAGUUUCAAAAGUUUCACAUAGGAUCACAGAAGGCCAACUGUAGCUCAGUGAUAAACAUUAAAUUUUAUGAAACAUUGUAGUGAUUAAUGCAUAAAUGAAA
This is a long non-coding RNA of Rhinolophus ferrumequinum (greater horseshoe bat), 488 nucleotides long. RefSeq lists it as uncharacterized. The record is from RefSeq and is a predicted model, not a curated record. Lineage: Eukaryota; Metazoa; Chordata; Mammalia; Chiroptera; Rhinolophidae. The transcript has 4 exons.